Molecule: long non-coding RNA, 1847 nt
Organism: Sarcophilus harrisii (Tasmanian devil)
Lineage: Eukaryota; Metazoa; Chordata; Mammalia; Dasyuromorphia; Dasyuridae
Source: Ensembl
AUGGGAAUUGUGCAUUUUCUUUACUAUGGGACUUGGACCAAUAAGAUUCCACAUGGGGCAGAGAACCGUGUGGAAUCCCCAUUGGUAAAGGUGGAAUGUCAAGACUAUAUAAGAAAGAAGUGGUUACAACCAGACCUAUGGGUGAGAAUGAAUGAGAAAUAUUUAGACCACACUGAGGGGCUAAUGUGGAGGUCCAAUGUACAGAAUAAGAAAAAACUUGCAGAAAUCAAGUGGAAGAAAAGCAUAUUAGAAAAGGGAGCUAAAAUGAAGACUCCAUCCCUGGGCUACAAAGUGAGGCACUACAGGUGCAUGAUGGAGUUUACCCUGGAACAGAGGGUUACCUUGUUGGAUGACUGUGGGGAGAGUGAAUUUUCUGUGUAUAGGGCUGGAUCAAGGAUCAUCACACAUGGGGCAGACAACCAUGUGGAAUACCCCUGAGUACUGUUGGUAUGUCGAACCCAUAUAACAAAGAAGUGGUUACAAACCGGGGGCCCUACGGGAGAAAAAUGAAUGAGAACCCAUUAUCAGGAUACUGAGGGAACAGGGUUGGAAACCAAUGGACAUUUGAAGAAAGCCUAUGCAGAAAUCAAGAGAUAGAAUAGGAUAUUAGAAAAAGGAGCAAAAGUCAAGACCCCACCCCUGGGCUGCGAGGUGAGGCACUACAGGUGCAUGAUGGUGUUUACCCUAGAGUACAGGGUUACCUUAUUGGAUGACUGUGGGAAGAGUGAAUUUUCUGUGCCAUAGGGCUGGCUCAAGGAUCAUCACACAUCGGGCAGAGAACAAUGUGGAAUACCCCUGAGUACUGUUGGUAUGUUGAACCCAUAUAACAAAGAAGUGGUUACAAACUGGGAGUCCUACAGGUGGAGAAUGAAUGAGAAAUCUUUACAGGACACUGGGUGUAAAGUGUUGGAUGCUAAUAAGCAUAAUAAUAAAGCCUGUUUUGCUUGAAACCAUACAGGGAAUAGCAAAGAUGCUUGAAAAUUGAGAAGAAAUAAAGACCUUACCUCUGGGCUGUGAAGUGAUGCAUUGUGGGAUGCCUGAUGGACUUUAUCAUGAUAGCAUUCCUUUUUGGAUGACUGUUGGAAUAGUGAAUUUUCUUUCCUAUUAGGCUGAAACCAGUAGCAUUCCACAUGGGACAGACAACCAUGUAGACUCUCCCUUUAUCCUGUUAAAAUGCAAGGCUCUGCCUUCAAGAAGUAAAUUAGUGACUGGUGUUGAAAAAUGGCUGAGAAACCUUUGUACUCUGAGGAUUAAGUGAUUAGGGCAAAAGAACAACAAAAGUUAUUGUUGAGGUAUUACAAUAUGUUAUAUAAAUAGCUAAUUAGAAUCCCUGCAGUCCCAGCUGAGCAGAGAGAUAGGGGAGUCUAGAUGCAGUGUGGCACCUUUUUUCAGAAAUCUCAUGUGGUUUGGGGUUGCAGUGAGUCUUCUUGGCUACAGGGUCUCAACAAGGAGCUACUUCCCUUGAUCUACAAUUCAGUGCUCCUUCACCCUUGCCCUGGAUGGAAAGGAUGCUCUGAUUGGCCAAGUAUUAGAAAGAAACCAGGGGCCCUGCCUCUGGGAAGUAGCUGUCAACCUAUAGUCAUAUAGUGCUGAAAUCCUGGUCACUGACCAAUAGAAAGGAAAGACCUGCCCUCUGACUGAAUAUCAAGACCCUCCUUGGUCUCAGAGAGCAAGAUAGCUUGUUGGGCCCCAUCUCUGGGGUCAGAGUGGGGCCCUCUGGGUGAACUGCUGCUUCCCCUGGCAGACCAGGGCAGCAUGGAACUGACUGGUGGUGACUCAAUGUCUGGUCUUUGCUAUGGGGCCAAUGCCAGGAGGACUGACAUGGAGUUGAGGCACCAUAUUCAUUU